This 256-nucleotide long non-coding RNA is filed under the name Bos taurus (domestic cattle). RNAcentral's name for it is "long non-coding RNA NONBTAT017752". Lineage: Eukaryota; Metazoa; Chordata; Mammalia; Artiodactyla; Bovidae. The record is from RNAcentral.
CAAGAGACUGCUCAGGUCUCAGAAGGACCCUGAAUGGGGCCAGAAGGAAGUCAGGAGUCUUCAUUGUUUCUUCUCUUUAAAGCUAAUGUGAAACUAACCUGGUCUCACUGUGAGCUUCAACUAGCCUGGAGGCCACAGACAGCCAUAGGAUCUCUGGAGGCUACAGACAGCCACAGGGUCUCUGUGGCUGACCCCUCUGUACCUGUUUCAGAGGCUGGACUUGGACUUUGUGAGACAUGAGGUUAAGGGGUCACCU